GCAAGAGGUGAGCUCAGAUAUCAGAUCCAUCACUAGUCAACAAGCUAUAGAAGAAAAUGUCAAGAAAUAAAUGGAAAAUUAACAACAGCAACAGGAAAAUGGUUUUCACAGCUUCUGCACAGAUAGAACAGAACCACAUCUUUGUUGCAUCAGGAAAAGCUGAACUGUCAAGAAGAUAACCACAUUUUUACCUGUCCUACCAAGAUUUGGAGCAGAUCAAUCCAUAAGUGACAGAGAAGAGGAGAAAACAAAGGGGACUCCAAUCUGCUGAUGAGAACCGAGAAGAGAGCAGCAGAGUAGCCACUAAGCCUGUCCUGCCCGCUUGUCAUCUAGAGUAAAAAAAUAAAGCACAUUUUGUAGAUGAGA
Molecule: long non-coding RNA, 366 nt
Organism: Mastomys coucha (southern multimammate mouse)
Lineage: Eukaryota; Metazoa; Chordata; Mammalia; Rodentia; Muridae
Exons: 3
Source: RefSeq, a predicted model, not a curated record